This 1325-nucleotide ribosomal RNA is filed under the name Shigella flexneri. RNAcentral describes it as "partial 23S ribosomal RNA". It matches the Rfam family "Bacterial large subunit ribosomal RNA", at positions 1 to 1365 of the family's 2925-position model. The record is from RNAcentral. Lineage: Bacteria; Pseudomonadati; Pseudomonadota; Gammaproteobacteria; Enterobacterales; Enterobacteriaceae.
GGUUAAGCGACUAAGCGUACACGGUGGAUGCCCUGGCAGUCAGAGGCGAUGAAGGACGUGCUAAUCUGCGAUAAGCGUCGGUAAGGUGAUAUGAACCGUUAUAACCGGCGAUUUCCGAAUGGGGAAACCCAGUGUGAUUCGUCACACUAUCAUUAACUGAAUCCAUAGGUUAAUGAGGCGAACCGGGGGAACUGAAACAUCUAAGUACCCCGAGGAAAAGAAAUCAACCGAGAUUCCCCCAGUAGCGGCGAGCGAACGGGGAGCAGCCCAGAGCCUGAAUCAGUGUGUGUGUUAGUGGAAGCGUCUGGAAAGGCGUGCGAUACAGGGUGACAGCCCCGUACACAAAAAUGCACAUACUGUGAGCUCGAUGAGUAGGGCGGGACACGUGGUAUCCUGUCUGAAUAUGGGGGGACCAUCCUCCAAGGCUAAAUACUCCUGACUGACCGAUAGUGAACCAGUACCGUGAGGGAAAGGCGAAAAGAACCCCGGCGAGGGGAGUGAAAAAGAACCUGAAACCGUGUACGUACAAGCAGUGGGAGCACGCUUAGGCGUGUGACUGCGUACCUUUUGUAUAAUGGGUCAGCGACUUAUAUUCUGUAGCAAGGUUAACCGAAUAGGGGAGCCGAAGGGAAACCGAGUCUUAACUGGGCGUUAAGUUGCAGGGUAUAGACCCGAAACCCGGUGAUCUAGCCAUGGGCAGGUUGAAGGUUGGGUAACACUAACUGGAGGACCGAACCGACUAAUGUUGAAAAAUUAGCGGAUGACUUGUGGCUGGGGGUGAAAGGCCAAUCAAACCGGGAGAUAGCUGGUUCUCCCCGAAAGCUAUUUAGGUAGCGCCUCGUGAAUUCAUCUCCGGGGGUAGAGCACUGUUUCGGCAAGGGGGUCAUCCCGACUUACCAACCCGAUGCAAACUGCGAAUACCGGAGAAUGUUAUCACGGGAGACACACGGCGGGUGCUAACGUCCGUCGUGAAGAGGGAAACAACCCAGACCGCCAGCUAAGGUCCCAAAGUCAUGGUUAAGUGGGAAACGAUGUGGGAAGGCCCAGACAGCCAGGAUGUUGGCUUAGAAGCAGCCAUCAUUUAAAGAAAGCGUAAUAGCUCACUGGUCGAGUCGGCCUGCGCGGAAGAUGUAACGGGGCUAAACCAUGCACCGAAGCUGCGGCAGCGACGCUUAUGCGUUGUUGGGUAGGGGAGCGUUCUGUAAGCCUGUGAAGGUGUGCUGUGAGGUAUGCUGGAGGUAUCAGAAGUGCGAAUGCUGACAUAAGUAACGAUAAAGCGGGUGAAAAGCCCGCUCGCCGGAAGACCAAGGGUUCCUGUCCAACGU